AAUUCUCAACCUUUCCGGCUUUUGCUGGUCAGGCUUGGAUUGUGGGAGCUGCUGGUUCUUUCACAGCAAUCAGCUCUUCUGAAAUGCAUUAGCAAGAUCAUUGCCCGAUCAUCUCUGGUAUGAUAAUUAUCUAUAUCACCGAUGACGAGCCUCUGAGAUCCUGCUUCUAACCGUCUCUUUCAUCUGAGACAACAUCAUGACUACU
Molecule: unclassified non-coding RNA, 205 nt
Filed under: uncultured Entoloma
Lineage: Eukaryota; Fungi; Basidiomycota; Agaricomycetes; Agaricales; Entolomataceae
Description: sequence contains ITS2
Source: RNAcentral